RNAcentral lists this ribosomal RNA (499 nucleotides) under uncultured bacterium. RNAcentral's name for it is "partial 16S ribosomal RNA". It matches the Rfam family "Bacterial small subunit ribosomal RNA", at positions 29 to 523 of the family's 1533-position model. The record is from RNAcentral.
AUUGAACGCUGGCGGAAUGCUUUACACAUGCAAGUCGAGCGGCAGCGCGGGGCAACCUGGCGGCGAGCGGCGAACGGGUGAGUAAUGCAUCGGAACAUGUCCAUGUCGUGGGGGAUAGCCCGGCGAAAGCCGGAUUAAUACCGCAUACGCCCGAGAGGGGAAAGUGGGGGACCGCAAGGCCUCACGCGAUUGGGUUGGCCGAUGUCCGAUUAGCUUGUUGGUGAGGUAAAGGCCUACCAAGCCGACGAUCUGUAGCUGGUCUGAGAGGACGACCAGCGACACUGGGACUGAGACACGGCCCAGACUCCUACGGGAGGCAGCAGUGGGGAAUUUUGGACAAUGGGCGCAAGCCUGAUCCAGCAAUGCCGCGUGCAGGAAGAAGGCCUUCGGGUUGUAAACUGCUUUUGUACGGAACGAAACGGCCUGGGUUAAUACCCUGGGCUAAUGACGGUACCGUAAGAAUAAGCACCGGCUAACUACGUGCCAGCCGCCGCUGUAA